AAAACCCUAAUUCCCAAAGCUAAUCCGUAAGCGUCCGUCUGAGUAUAUAUAGGCUUCGUCUUCUUUCUUCUAACUCAGAACAACAACUGCUUCUUUCUCUUUACUUCUGCUUAGGUUUUCCAACGAAUAAUCUAGAGUUUUCAAGAAUAAAGUUUUCGUUUUUAGUGGUGGCUUAGAAGAGGGUUUAUGGUGAUGAUACGAAUAUUUCGUGGACUAGAGUUUCAGAUAUGGGCUCUUCACCCAGAAUUUGAAGAUACAACCCUUGGCUGUCUGAGUAAAUCCUUGUUUUGCCCACCACAAUAGUUUUUGGUUUUGGUAUCUUAUUUUGCCUAUGAUGAUAAAAACAAUUAUCUUAGCGGAUUUCAGUGAGGUUUUUUAAAUCAAUGAUCUGAAUUGUUACACACACUGAGGCUCUUUUAUUUGUUCUUUCGUUUUUGAUUUUGGGAAAAUUGGUUGCGAUGAUGAUAAAAUAGCACGAAGGUGCGUGAAGGGCAGUGGACAAAACAAUGUUUUGCCGUGAGCUCUCUUAAUUAAACGACUUCUCCUUCCACUGAGCAUAAUUGAGAUUUCCCCUAAAUCUUUUGUGUUUAUUAGUUUGGUUGAUAAUAAUGAAUGGCGUCUUUUACCAAUUCUGAAGGAUUAAAAAUGGUUCCUUUAGGUAUAAUGGCAUUGACGCAAGAUUAUUUGUGGUAUAUCCUGAUCAUUUGGCUUUUUUCUAUGUUACUUGAUCCUGGAAAUGCCUCGCACAUUUUGUUCAUCUACUUGUGGUUUUUAUCUACCAAGUUUGCUCUUUUUACAUCCGAUUUGUGGCUGGAUGUUUUGACCUUGUUGAUUUUAACGAUGUUUGGAUGUCGAUAAGUAGGAUUUAAUAAUGAUCAUUCGAUAUAUUUCACACUGGUUCAGUUUUAAUUCAUGGAUUGCAAAUCAGAAACUGUAAUCACUUCAUAUAUUGAUCCCAAAAAUAUUCACAUUCACUCAUAUUUUUUCAUUGACCGUCAGCUUUUCGUAUAUAGUUUUUGAUAGUUUUUGAUUUACUUGUCCCAUCUUGAGAUUGAGAAUUGUUGGAAGAUUGUGGAGUUGUUUCUUGAGACAAUUUUCAUUUGACAAUGCUUGGUUACGUUUCACAAUGCUUGGUUACGUUUCAGUAAUGUGGAAAGCUGCAGCUACCCAAAUCGUUGUCAAAAUGGAACAUUGGUUUCUGGAUAAAGAGUUAUUUCAUCUGUGAGAUGUUUUCGUUAAUACGUGAUCAUCAAGGUUUAAUGUGUUUUAUUUAUUGGUUUGUUUUGCUCAAACCAGCAGGGAAUUGUUUUGAAAUAUAUGAUCUUAUGUGAGGUUCCGAGUAUGGGUGUUUUAUUGAUAGACUUUGGAUAAUCAUGAUCAAUCCUACAUUGCGAUAGGUGGAGCUCUUCCUAUGCUUAUCGGCCUCAUUGACUUAUUUGUAUCGCUUGGUUCGAAAACCUUUGCUCAUUUGUUUUUUGGUAUAUUCCCUGUGAAUUUCUCACGUUCUAAAUUGUAAUUUCAAGUGAAAUCAGUCUAAUCACAAAUUUCAAUCUUUAAACUAUUGCUUUGUGUCUAAAGGAUAUUAUAUAAACCAUAUAAAAGUUACAAUUGCGAUCAACAACAUGAUGGGAGACAAAUAUAUGACAAGGCAAUACUAUUACUAAGGGAAUUUAUUGUUCCUAAGAUUAAAAUUAUUGCUAUACUUCUAAUCUCCCAAAAUGUUUUUUACAAAUGGUAAUUUAUUGUUCCUAAGAUUAAAAUAAAAAACACAAGAUUGAUGAUUUUUUAGAAAAGACAAAAUUAAUAAAUAAGAUUUACCUAUAUUAAUUGUUUGGAGAUAUUCAUACUCCAUUUAAGUAAAAAUAUUUU
This 1869-nucleotide long non-coding RNA is filed under the name Arabidopsis lyrata. The record is from RNAcentral. Lineage: Eukaryota; Viridiplantae; Streptophyta; Magnoliopsida; Brassicales; Brassicaceae.